GGCCUAACACAUGCAAGUCGAGCGGGGGAGAUUGCUUCGGUAAUUGACCUAGCGGCGGACGGGUGAGUAAUACUUAGGAAUCUGCCUAUUAAUGGGGGACAACAUCUCGAAAGGGAUGCUAAUACCGCAUACGCCCUACGGGGGAAAGCAGGGGAUCACUUGUGACCUUGCGUUAAUAGAUGAGCCUAAGUCGGAUUAGCUAGUUGGUGGGGUAAAGGCCUACCAAGGCGACGAUCUGUAGCGGGUCUGAGAGGAUGAUCCGCCACACUGGGACUGAGACACGGCCCAGACUCCUACGGGAGGCAGCAGUGGGGAAUAUUGGACAAUGGGGGGAACCCUGAUCCAGCCAUGCCGCGUGUGUGAAGAAGGCCUUAUGGUUGUAAAGCACUUUAAGCGAGGAGGAGGCUCUCUUGGUUAAUACCCAAGAUGAGUGGACGUUACUCGCAGAAU
This 450-nucleotide ribosomal RNA is filed under the name uncultured Gammaproteobacteria bacterium. RNAcentral describes it as "bacterial SSU rRNA". It matches the Rfam family "Bacterial small subunit ribosomal RNA", at positions 45 to 487 of the family's 1533-position model. The record is from RNAcentral. Lineage: Bacteria; Pseudomonadati; Pseudomonadota; Gammaproteobacteria.